This 350-nucleotide ribosomal RNA is filed under the name uncultured bacterium. RNAcentral describes it as "bacterial SSU rRNA". It matches the Rfam family "Bacterial small subunit ribosomal RNA", at positions 30 to 376 of the family's 1533-position model. The record is from RNAcentral.
AUUGAACGCUGGCGGAAUGCUUUACACAUGCAAGUCGAACGGUAGAGGGGGCAACCCCUUGAGAGUGGCGAACGGGUGAGUAAUAUAUCGGAACGUGCCCAGUCGUGGGGGAUAACGUAGCGAAAGUUACGCUAAUACCGCAUACGAUCUAAGGAUGAAAGCGGGGGACUCGCAAGAGCCUCGCGCGAUUGGAGCGGCCGAUAUCAGAUUAGGUAGUUGGUGGGGUAAAGGCUCACCAAGCCGACGAUCUGUAGCUGGUCUGAGAGGACGACCAGCCACACUGGAACUGGAGUACACGGGUACCGAGACUCCUAACGGGAGGCAGCAGUGGGGAAUUUUGGACAAUGGAC